RNAcentral lists this ribosomal RNA (432 nucleotides) under uncultured bacterium. RNAcentral describes it as "partial 16S ribosomal RNA". It matches the Rfam family "Bacterial small subunit ribosomal RNA", at positions 29 to 506 of the family's 1533-position model. The record is from RNAcentral.
AACGAACGCUGGCGGCAUGCCUAACACAUGCAAGUCGAACGAGACCUUCGGGACUAGUGGCGCAUGGGUGCGUAACGCGUGGGAACGUGGCCUAAGGUUCGGAAUACCUCCCCGAAAGGGGUGCUAAUAACGGAUAAUGUCUUCGGAACAACGCUUUAUCGCUUUUGAUUGGGCGCGCGUUGGGUUAGAGAGUUGGUAGGGUAAAAGCCUACCAAGGCGACGAUCCAUAGCUGGUUUGAGAGGAUGAUCAGCCACACUGCGACUGAGACACGGCCCAGACUCCCACGGGAGGCAGCAGUGGGGAAUAUUGGACAAUGGGCGAAAGCCUGAUCCAGCCAUGCCGCGUGAGUGAUGAAGGCCUUAGGUUUGUAAAGCUCUUUUACCCGGGAUGAUAAGGACAGUACCGGGAGAAUAAGCCCCGGCUAACUCCGG